This 561-nucleotide long non-coding RNA is filed under the name Felis catus (domestic cat). RNAcentral's name for it is "lncRNA (ENSFCAG00000043635.2)". Lineage: Eukaryota; Metazoa; Chordata; Mammalia; Carnivora; Felidae. The record is from RNAcentral.
CUUGACAGGAUGCGUUGGUUUGCUGUUCUAGGCCUUGAAAUGAUCCUCCUGGGCUUUAUCGUACUAUUAAGAUGGACGGAUAUUAAACUUAGCUUGUGUGUUUAGGGAAAGGAGCAAAGGUAAAUAUUUGACACCUAUUUAUCUAGGCCUGGGAUUCACAAAGAGUUUUGUGACUCAUUUGGGUUCCAUUCUAGCUUACCGGACUUUGGGAUUCCAUUCCAAGGUUUGAGGUCAAACGCCAGCAAUAAAAUGUGUGUAUUUGCUGGUCUUCUCCAAGGACCUUUUCCAUCUUAGUAUGGGAAAGCCGGGAGACUUUCUGUUAAAGACUCCAGAUUCUCGGCCAAAUCCCACCUCCCUGGCUAUAAUGAAAUGUGGCGAACGAGGAGCUACUUCAUCAGAGAAGAUGGCAGUGUUAUGGGUGCAUUUAUCUCUGCGUUCAGGUGCAGCAAGACAGAGAUGAGGAAGAAAAUCUGCCAAGCACUAGGAAACAAUAUUAAACAAGCACCUAGAGGAAAUUGCAAAGUACUUUCUAUUUUAUCAGGAUUUCUAAUUCCAGCAUGA